Molecule: long non-coding RNA, 264 nt
Filed under: Gallus gallus (chicken)
Lineage: Eukaryota; Metazoa; Chordata; Aves; Galliformes; Phasianidae
Source: RNAcentral
UGGCGAUGCUCAUUCUCUUCAUGGGUGUGUAACAGCAGGUGUACAGGAAGAUGUUGAACGCUCCGAGGGCGCCGGUGAGGGGGUUGACCCCCAUGGUCAGCAGGGCGAUGCCCGGCACACCACAAGAUGCUGCGAAGCAUACAGCAAGCAGGGGGCUGAUCUGUCCUCGCACCAGGGGUCUGUUUUUCGUCCUGUUCAUAUUCGAGUCAAACGGGACCUCAAAGAACUGAUUGAUGGAGUUGGCAGCGCAGGAAGCCAGGCCAG